GGCUUAACACAUGCAAGUCGAGGGGUAUAGUUCUUCGGAACUAGAGUACCGGCGCACGGGUGCGUAACGCGUGGGAAUCUGCCCUUGGGUUCGGAAUAACAGUUAGAAAUGACUGCUAAUACCGAAUGAUGUCUUCGGACCAAAGAUUUAUCGCCCAAGGAUGAGCCCGCGUCGGAUUAGCUAGUUGGUGAGGUAAAAGGCUCACCAAGGCGACGAUCCGUAGCUGGUCUGAGAGGAUGAUCAGCCACACUGGGACUGAGACACGGCCCAGACUCCUACGGGAGGCAGCAGUGGGAAUAUUGGACAAUGGGCGAAAGCCUGAUCCAGCAAUGCCGCGUGAGUGAUGAAGGCCUUAGGGUUGUAAAGCUCUUUUACCCGGGAUGAUAAUGACAGUACCGGGAGAAUAAGCCCCGGCUAACUCCGUG
This 425-nucleotide ribosomal RNA is filed under the name uncultured bacterium. RNAcentral's name for it is "bacterial SSU rRNA". It matches the Rfam family "Bacterial small subunit ribosomal RNA", at positions 45 to 507 of the family's 1533-position model. The record is from RNAcentral.